Molecule: unclassified non-coding RNA, 391 nt
Filed under: soil metagenome
Description: partial contains 5.8S ribosomal RNA, internal transcribed spacer 2, and large subunit ribosomal RNA
Rfam family: 5.8S ribosomal RNA (bases 1-123)
Source: RNAcentral
GAUGAAGAACGCAGCGAAAUGCGAUACGUAAUGUGAAUUGCAGAUCUCUCAGUGAACCAUCGAAUUUUUGAACGCACAUAGCGCCCGCCGGUCAUUCCGGCGGGCAUGCCUGUCCGAGCGUCGAUGACGCCGCUCGAGCCCCCGUGCUCGGUGUUGGGGCGCUAGGUCUCCCAGAGGCCUAGGCCCCCAAGUAGCAGUGCGCGGUCCGGCUGCGGGCCCCGGGUACAGUAACUUCACUGUUGAGAUGCCCUGGGAGCCGCUGGCUGGGUCAGCCGUACAACCCCCGACAUAGGCCUUCCUGUCCGCCCCCGGCGGGGAGGGAGACCGCCUAAUGUUGACCUCGGAUCAGGUAGGACUACCCGCUGAACUUAAGCAUAUCAAUAGCGGAGGA